This 189-nucleotide small nuclear RNA is filed under the name Oncorhynchus tshawytscha (Chinook salmon). RNAcentral describes it as "U2 spliceosomal RNA". It matches the Rfam family "U2 spliceosomal RNA". Rfam says of the family: U2 is a small nuclear RNA (snRNA) component of the spliceosome (involved in pre-mRNA splicing). Complementary binding between U2 snRNA (in an area lying towards the 5' end but 3' to hairpin I) and the branchpoint sequence (BPS) of the intron results the bulging out of an unpaired adenosine, on the BPS, which initiates a nucleophilic attack at the intronic 5' splice site, thus starting the first of two transesterification reactions that mediate splicing. Lineage: Eukaryota; Metazoa; Chordata; Actinopteri; Salmoniformes; Salmonidae. The record is from Rfam by way of RNAcentral.
AUCGCUUCUCGGCUUUUGGCUCAGAUCAAGGUGUAGUAUCUGUUCUUAUCAGUUUAAUAUCUGAUACGUCCCCCAUCGGGGACUACAUAUUAAAUGGAUUUUUCGAACAGGGAUCGGAAAUGGGGCUUGCUCCGUCCGCUCCACGCAUCGACCCGGUAUUGCAGUACCUCCGGGAACGGUGCAACACUU